This 254-nucleotide ribosomal RNA is filed under the name uncultured bacterium. Its description in RNAcentral is "partial 16S ribosomal RNA". It matches the Rfam family "Bacterial small subunit ribosomal RNA", at positions 524 to 776 of the family's 1533-position model. The record is from RNAcentral.
UACGGAGGGGGCAAGCGUUGUUCGGAAUUACUGGGCGUAAAGGGCGCGCAGGCGGCUGCUCAAGUCAGGCGUGAAAGGCCUGGGCUCAACCCGGGAAUUGCGCUUGAGACUGGGCUGGCUUGAGUGCGGGAGAGGUGAGUGGAACUGCGAGUGUAGAGGUGAAAUUCGUAGAUAUUCGCAAGAACACCAGUGGCGAAGGCGGCUCACUGGCCCGGUACUGACGCUGAGGUGCGAAAGCGUGGGGAGCAAACAGG